RNAcentral lists this ribosomal RNA (411 nucleotides) under Acidobacteriota bacterium. Its description in RNAcentral is "Acidobacteria bacterium partial 16S ribosomal RNA". It matches the Rfam family "Bacterial small subunit ribosomal RNA", at positions 355 to 776 of the family's 1533-position model. The record is from RNAcentral. Lineage: Bacteria; Pseudomonadati; Acidobacteriota.
UGGGGAAUAUUGCACAAUGGGCGCAAGCCUGAUGCAGCGACGCCGCGUGGGGGAUGAAGGCCUUCGGGUUGUAAACUCCUUUCGCUAGGGACGAAGCCUAUGGUGACGGUACCUGGAGAAGAAGCACCGGCUAACUACGUGCCAGCAGCCGCGGUAAUACGUAGGGUGCGAGCGUUGUCCGGAAUUACUGGGCGUAAAGAGCCCGUAGGUGGUUUGUCGCGUCGUCUGUGAAAUCCCGGGGCUUAACUUCGGGCGUGCAGGCGAUACGGGCAUAACUUGAGUGCUGUAGGGGAGGCUGGAAUUCCUGGUGUAGCGGUGAAAUGCGCAGAUAUCAGGAGGAACACCAAUGGCGAAGGCAGGUCUCUGGGCAGUAACUGACGCUGAGGAGCGAAAGCAUGGGUAGCGAACAGG